GGGAAGACUGGGGGUUCAUGGCACGGGGUGGGCCAGGCCAGUAUUGUUAAUACAGAGUGCUAGAAGUAAGGGCUUCGCCCCUGGAAGAAGCUCGGAAUUCGGUGUCUUUGACUUCUGAUUUUUGUCUUUUUUUAGAAAAUGGAAAAAAUGAUUGACAGGAUGACGAGCAAGCAAGAUGCAGGUUCAUAGCCCUUGGGCAAGCAGCCAUAUCUCCUCGGCUAUAGAACUCAAGAUUUUUCUUCUAAAGAACCAUUCCAUCCCUAAGGGUCACAGAGUUAGGGCCAGUGAUUUUACAACCAACGCAUCCCCCUCGUCCAGUAUCCGAAUUGAGAUGGCAUUUAUUUGAGGGAAGAAGUAAUGAAAACAAAACAAUCUGGAAGCAACUCUUGGCAGACCAAGGAAUAACUGAAAACCUAAACCUUCCUGAAAUGGAUGGGAAAAGAAAAAGUGGCUCGCUCCCAAUGCCAGCAUUUUAGAAAUCUUGCUCCUUUUGGCAAAGGACCUGGGAAAAAGGAAAGGGACGCUAGAUGCUCUUAGUCUUAACCGAUUUAUUUGAGGGAAGGAGUCUUGGGGAAAGAAUCUUUUUGAUGUGAACCAUCUUCAGAGUCUUCACUGAAUUUGUUACAACAUCGCCUCUGCUCUGUGUUUCGGCUUUUUGGCGACGAGGCACACAGGAUCCCAGCUCCCCGACCAGGGAUCUAAGCCUCACCUUCUGCACUGGAAGGUGAAGUCUUAACCACUGGACCACCAGGGAAGUCCCACUUUGAGUAGUUCUGUUCCUAUUUAAUCGUGUGCAAAAGAAAACCCGAAAGAGCCGAGAAUAUUUCUGGAAGGAUACAAGGAUCUGUUUAUCCUGCUCACCUCUGAGGAGACCUCAGAGGAGGGUGGAGAAUUGGGUGAGAAGGGCACUUUUCACUCUAUACCCCUUUGUGACUUUUGAAUUUUGAACCAUGUGAAUGUAUUUCCUUUUUAAUGAAGAAAGAAAGAAAAGAAAAAAACCUAACCUCAAUCUCCUAAGCUAAACGCUGACACUAUUAGAAAGGUACCUUAAAAAAAAUAUUGUGUAUGUCACUUGCAUUUGCUACACUAAACACCUGUAACUUUUUUUCUUUUUAAUGAAAUAAAGGUCAC
This is a long non-coding RNA of Hippopotamus amphibius kiboko, 1131 nucleotides long. RefSeq lists it as uncharacterized. NCBI's taxonomy places the organism in Eukaryota, Metazoa, Chordata, Mammalia, Artiodactyla, Hippopotamidae. The transcript has 3 exons. The record is from RefSeq and is a predicted model, not a curated record.